GAAAAGGAACAAUAUUCAAUAGUAUUCCAAUAAGUUUUAUAGCGGAAUCAAAGUAUUUGUUAGUAAAACAAUAUGAAAGUAAUUAAUUUUUUCCUAAUAGUCGCUUGCAUUGUUGCCACUGCCAUGGCUGAACCAGGAAAUACUAAUGCACAAGGCGUUACUAAUUCCGGCUACUUUUUCCAAGGAAGUAAAUAAUUGAAGUUAUUAUCCUAUUGAAUUGAAGUAGUUGAUAUAAAUAAAGAAAAACACAUUUUAUUAAAUUUAUAAUGUGUGAAUAAAAAAGUUUAACCCUAUA
Long non-coding RNA from Lucilia sericata (common green bottle fly), 295 nucleotides. RefSeq lists it as uncharacterized. The transcript has 2 exons. The record is from RefSeq and is a predicted model, not a curated record. NCBI's taxonomy places the organism in Eukaryota, Metazoa, Arthropoda, Insecta, Diptera, Calliphoridae.